ACGAACGCUGGCGGCGCGCCUAACACAUGCAAGUCGAACGGAGCUGAGAGAAGCUUGCUUUUCUUAGCUUAGUGGCGAACGGGUGAGUAACGCGUGAGUAACCUGCCUUGGAUUUGGUGACAACAGUUGGAAACGACUGCUAAUACCGCAUAAGCCCACGAUCCGGCAUCGGAUUGAGGGAAAAGGAUUUAUUCGCUUCAGGAUGGACUCGCGUCCAAUUAGCUAGUUGGUGAGGUAACGGCCCACCAAGGCGACGAUUGGUAGCCGGACUGAGAGGCUGAGCGGAGACAUUUGGGAUGAGACACAGAGCAGAAUACUACGGGAGGGAGGAGUGGGUGAUAAUGCAAAAUGGGGGAAGCGAAGAUGCAGCGACGCUGGGUAGAGGAAGAAGGUGGUCGGAUAGUGAACUAGGGUAGUAAGGGGCGAUAAUGACGGUACCUAACAAGAAAGCACCGGCUAACUACGUG
Molecule: ribosomal RNA, 467 nt
Filed under: uncultured bacterium
Lineage: Bacteria
Description: partial 16S ribosomal RNA
Rfam family: Bacterial small subunit ribosomal RNA
Source: RNAcentral